This 2684-nucleotide long non-coding RNA is filed under the name Equus caballus (horse). RNAcentral's name for it is "lncRNA (ENSECAG00000044296.1)". The record is from RNAcentral. Lineage: Eukaryota; Metazoa; Chordata; Mammalia; Perissodactyla; Equidae.
AUCAAGCUUUGAUGAGCGUCUACUUCUUGAGACUCUGGAGGACUUCUGUUUAGGCUCUUUCAUGAUUGUAACUUUCCAUGUUUGUUAAAUUCCUUUUCAUUUUUCAAUAGGAUUGGGAGUAGUGGAGACAGAUUUCUGAGUAAGAAGUGGAAGCUUGUGUAAUUUAAACACAUGAACACAGUCCCCCUCCAUAUCCAUGGGUUUCAGAUUUGAAUCCAGGGAUGUUAAACUCGAGAAUACAGAGAGUGAACUGCGUUCAUUGUGCUACACCAUUUUAUCUAAGGAGCUUGAGCAUCCCUGGAUUUUGGUGUCUGUGGGGGGUUCCUGGAACCAAUUCCACCCCACCCCCUUACCAAGAGAUGACUCUACAGGUUUCCCCCACCAUCUGAAAGUUUGCUUUAGGCGACUUCACUUUUACGAAAGACCUAUAUUAGUACCUGUGCUUGCUAACCAAAAGAGAUCCAAGGAGGAUUUUCGCUUUUACAAAAAAGGUGAGAGCCAGCCCUGAUGGCUGAGUGGUUCAAGUUCAGCACCCUCUACUUAAGCAGCCUGGGCCAGUUCCCAUGUGCGGAACGACAUCACUCAUCUGUCAGUAACCAUGCUGUGGUGGCAGCUCACAUAGAAGAACUAGAAGGACCUACAACUAGAAUAUACAACUACAUACUGGGGCUUUAGGGAGGGGGGAAAACGGUGACAAGUGAAAAUAGCAUUCAGUGUUUGUUUCGCAGGCUGAGUCGAGCUCUUUAUAGAGGCUUAAUGGUCAAACCUACCAUCGUAAUUCAAGCCUUUCACAUCAGCCCUACCAGACGACAAACCUUGACCUUCGACACAGAGGCAGGCAGACAUAGAUGAAGGUGUAGACAUUAGUGACCUGUCUGCCCUGAGGGAUUCAGACAAUGAGAUGUUAAUAGAUGACCUCUUCCUCUCUCUUCUACACCGGAGUCUCCUGUAACUCCCACCACACCAAACUCCAAUGACUCAGCCUCACACACCACCAUCACCACCACCACCUCUCAGCCUUCCUGUGUGCUCACUGUCUUCCUGAUUCUGGUUGACAGGACAAGGAGUACACGCAUGAUGGUUUUGUAGGGGACCUGCAAAGCUUGGCCACUCUCUUUUCCACCAGUUUGUUGCCAGUUUAGUGGACCUCUAAACUCAGGACCUACUUGGAUUAGAUUGGAGACUUGGCAGACAGAUGCCUCAAUCCACUCUCUUAUACAUACGUUCAACAGAAAUGAGACACUCCAGGGCAAAACAAAACCACAAAAUGAAAACUUUGCGUAAAUGAACAAAAGCAAAAGCAAAGCAAGCAGCAGGAGAAUAAGCAGAUUAAAGAAAAUAUACUUAUUGAAUGGUAUGUGUACCUUUAAAAGGAAAAGUCUAGUCACCUUGUAUAAAGACGUAGGCUUGAUUACCGAAUGGUGCACUUCCAAAUCAAAGAAGUAAUUACCAAAUAAAGAAAAAACUUGACCUAAUUACCUUGUACAAAGACCUGAGUCUAAUGGCCCAAUACAAAGGUCUUCUUGGCUACAAAUCCUAGGAUAACAAACUAAUUCAGCAACAAGAGCUCAGAUCAUUACUGGACUCACAUUCCUGGCAGCAGAUCUGAAGGAUGAGUGGAGUUUGGGCAACAAGGGCCCCAGUGAGUAAACACGAGGGUUGCCUGAGAUGCUGUUCUGCAGGGGUCUUCAAAAUUAUGUCAGUGACACCUUCAGAAUUGUCAAGAAAUCAAUGAGUCCACCAUUUAACUCCUAAAAUAAACAAAGCUGAAUUUAUUGUUUAGUACAGUAAGGAAGCACUUACUAUAUCAGCAAGCAUAGCAUCGGUCAUGUUGGCCAGGCACAUUCUCUCGGAGCAGAGCAGAGUGCAAAUCUUAUUUGGCUCUUGGAGAAGCAUGGAAUGUGGUGUCUGGUGGACUUUAAGAGGCGGGAGUGGGUUGUCACCGUCAGUAGGUGUAGUCAGUCAGGUGUGACUGUUUUUGACUGAUUAGCACUCAGUGGUGUGUUUUGUAGACUAAGUGCCUCUAUACUUAAAUAAUUACAGAAGCAAGAGAUUGAUGCUGAUUGGCUGACUUGUUCACUGAAUUGAGUUAUCACUGGUAAACUGAACAGAUUUAAAAUUCAUUCUGGUAGCUACUUUUACCAUGGCUAUGAGCAAUCAGUCUUUUUCUAAGUUUUUGAAAAUUUUAAAUUCUUAUUUUGAAGGAAGCCUGUACUGAGUUUGAUUCUCAGCUCUGUCAUUUAAUUUGCUUAAUAUCUCUGUAUUUUGGCAGAUUACUAGAUCACUCUGAACCCCAAGAAAACUGAAAUAACUGUGUCUACCUUGCAUGAUUAGAAAAGAAUAUACUAAAAGCACCUUGCAGUUCACAUUCAAGAAAUAAUACAUUGUAUCUCAUAAUCUAAAAUAGCCAAAAAUAAAAACAUAUAACACUAAAGAGAGUUUAUUUUGUGCCAGGCGUUUUUUUCCAAGGGCUUUUACAUAUUUUGCUCAUUUGAACCUACAAGCAGCCCUCUGGUAUAGGUAUUAUUAUGUCAUUUUCCUCAUUUUACAGAUAAGAAAAUGGAGGCACAGUGCCAUUAAGUAAAAUGCUCUAUGUCACAGUAAGUGGUACAGCUAGGAUUCGAACCUAGGCAAUCUGACAGCAGGAACUUCUGUGCUUAACCUCUAUACCAACUACCAAUCUG